CCUACGGGAGGCUGCAGUGGGGAAUAUUGGACAAUGGGGGCAACCCUGAUCCAGCCAUGCCGCGUGUGUGAAGAAGGCCUCGGGUUGUAAAGCACUUUCAGUGAGGAAGAACGCCUGGUGGUUAAUACCCAUCAGGAAAGACAUCACUCACAGAAGAAGCACCGGCUAACUCCGUGCCAGCAGCCGCGGUAAUACGGAGGGUGCGAGCGUUAAUCGGAAUUACUGGGCGUAAAGCGCGCGUAGGUGGCUUGAUAAGCCGGUUGUGAAAGCCCCGGGCUCAACCUGGGAACGGCAUCCGGAACUGUCAAGCUAGAGUGCAGGAGAGGAAGGUAGAAUUCCCGGUGUAGCGGUGAAAUGCGUAGAGAUCGGGAGGAAUACCAGUGGCGAAGGCGGCCUUCUGGACUGACACUGACACUGAGGUGCGAAAGCGUGGGUAGCAAACAGGAUUAGAUACCCGGGUAGUC
Molecule: ribosomal RNA, 464 nt
Filed under: Vreelandella stevensii
Lineage: Bacteria; Pseudomonadati; Pseudomonadota; Gammaproteobacteria; Oceanospirillales; Halomonadaceae
Description: partial 16S ribosomal RNA
Rfam family: Bacterial small subunit ribosomal RNA
Source: RNAcentral